UCUAUUUAAACUAAUAAAAUGUAUUUUUAUUUUCAGAAAAACGUAUUCACAAGAGUCUGAGAUGAGAUCUUUGGAGACGGCAUGAUUUUGGCACUCAUCCAGCUGAGUCUUCAGUACCGCGAUUUCAUCCUGAAGUUGCCUGUUCAGUUGAAUUUGUGCUUCAGCUUUCCCCACACGUUCUUCCAUUGUUUUCACAGCUUUCCGCAGGUUCGCCAUUUCAGCCGCUAUUUCGCCAAACCGCUGCAUUACUCGCUCUUCAGAUGUUUUCACUCGUUCCGAAAUCUCUUCGAUGAUGCUCCUUCUCUGCAGCUCGAGUUGUUCCUCUAUCCGCUCAAGCCAGAAAGGAGGUGGCGAGCUCCCUUUUUUCUUCGCUUUGUUUAGAGUGUUCGCGCUGUUUUGCGGAGUGGAUACCGUUUGGCGUGUGAUUUUUCCUCUGGUGCGUACACUAAAUUAUUUUCACGGCCACGGAGUUAGAUAGUGAUCAAAGAGACCCGUAUUAGCAAAAGACUAUAUAAGAUAGGUGGUCACAAACACAAGUAAAUAAAAGAUAACUGCAGCGCACAAAAAAACACGUCUACUCUGUUUGCAUAUGCAUAUGGUAAUUUGCGGGUAUCUUUCUUUUGGUACAGCAAUAUAAACGGCGAUACUAUAUACAGCAAUAUAAAAAUUAUUAUAAUAAUUUUAUUAUUAUUAUUAUUAUAAUUUUAUUAUGUUAAAUUACUUUAAUUCAUGUUCAUUUUCUAAC
This is a long non-coding RNA of Anastrepha ludens (Mexican fruit fly), 745 nucleotides long. RefSeq lists it as uncharacterized. The transcript is spliced from 3 exons. The record is from RefSeq and is a predicted model, not a curated record. Lineage: Eukaryota; Metazoa; Arthropoda; Insecta; Diptera; Tephritidae.